This 912-nucleotide long non-coding RNA is filed under the name Equus asinus (donkey). RNAcentral's name for it is "lncRNA (ENSEASG00005031265.1)". The record is from RNAcentral. Lineage: Eukaryota; Metazoa; Chordata; Mammalia; Perissodactyla; Equidae.
GAGCACUUGUGCUAGAUACUGAGGAUAAAGUGAAGCCACUCAGUCCUGAAACACCUUCCUCAUCUCUCCCAGGGGACCAAGGGCCCCGCAUGCCAACAGCGAUUUGGGCGCUCUUCCUUGCUUUCUCAGAGUUGCCGAUUCUAUGCCCCUCGAGGUAGAGAGAGGAGGGGAGAGGAAAGAGGGAGAGAUUGACGGCACUCAGAGACAGUAAUUGCUUUGUUUGGGCUGGACCGGAGGAUAGGGCAGAGACAAGCAGCAGCUAUCCAGGUUACCGAAUACACCAGCUAUUAAACAGAGUCACGACUAGCAAGAAAGGCCUCCUGCCUGUCUGCCUGCCGGCCUCCCUUUCAGACCUGGACAUCUCAUUGCGGCACUCCACCCAGUUGACAGGCCCUGCAUGGGCGCUGGCUCUCUUCCUUGGAAUAACCUUGCCUCUCCAAAAAAAAAAAACAAACGCCCUUUGAGCUACCUUUCCCAUCGUGUGAUCCACAUGACGCCACCAUACAAUCCAUCGCAGAUGCUGCCACCCUUGCGUACAAGUAUGAAUCGGGUGUCAUGCAGUGCAGAACUCAAGACUCUGGUGAAGAGACCCCAUCUGCAGCUCACGAGGCAUGGUUGAUGUUGGCUCUGGUAGUAAAAACCACUUUGCUGGAUGGAUAGGAAAUUGCCACCACAGGAGAUGAUAAUAUUUGUGAGCCUUACUAACAAGCUUGAAUUCUAACAUAAGGCAGUUCAUUGUUAUUCUGCAGAAUGUGAAAUCUUAAUGCUUUCGCUAUUCAAACUCAUCUUAUUUCACAAUGUGAUUUACUGCAGCUCUAAGGAGCCAGCAGAAGGGAAAAAAAUAAGGGAGGUGGGAGGAAAAAGAUUGUUGGGAGUGGAAACACUGAUGAGCCCAGCUUUGUGAGCGAAUUU